AAUAGAUACCCAGGUAGUCCACGCCGUAAACGAUGAAUACUAGGCGUAGGGGUUGUCAUGACCUCUGUGCCGCCGCUAACGCAUUAAGUAUUCCGCCUGGGGAGUACGGUCGCAAGAUUAGAACUCAAAGGAAUUGACGGGGGCCCGCACAAGCAGCGGAGCAUGUGGUUUAAUUCGAAGCAACGCGAAGAACCUUACCUAGACUUGACAUCUCCUGCAUUACCCUUAAUCGGGAAAGUUCCUUCGGGGACAGGAAGACAGGUGGUGCAUGGUUGUCGUCAGCUCGUGUCGUGAGAUGUUGGGUUAAGUCUCGCAACGAGCGCAACCCUUAUUGUUAGUUGCUACCAUUUAGUUGAGCACUCUAGCGAGACUGCCCGGGUUAACCGGGAGGAAGGUGGGGAUGACGUCAAAGUCAUCAUGCCCCUUAUGUCUAGGGCUACACACGUGCUACAAUGGCAAGUACAAAGAGACGCAAUACCGCGAGGUGGAGCAAAACUCAAAAACUUGUCUCAGUUCGGAUUGUAGGCUGAAACUCGCCUAC
Molecule: ribosomal RNA, 541 nt
Filed under: uncultured bacterium
Lineage: Bacteria
Description: bacterial SSU rRNA
Rfam family: Bacterial small subunit ribosomal RNA
Source: RNAcentral